This 255-nucleotide ribosomal RNA is filed under the name uncultured bacterium. RNAcentral's name for it is "partial 16S ribosomal RNA". It matches the Rfam family "Bacterial small subunit ribosomal RNA", at positions 524 to 776 of the family's 1533-position model. The record is from RNAcentral.
UACGGAGGGGGCAAGCGUUGUUCGGAAUUACUGGGCGUAAAGGGCGCGCAGGCGGCUGCUCAAGUCAGGCGUGAAAGGCCUGGGCUCAACCCGGGAAUUGCGCUUGAGACUGGGCUGGCUUGAGUGCGGGAGAGGAUGGUGGAAUUCCCAGUGUAGAGGUGAAAUUCGUAGAUAUUGGGAAGAACACCAGUGGCGAAGGCGGCUCACUGGCCCGAUACUGACGCUGAGGCACGAAAGCGUGGGGGAGCAAACAGG